GGAGCGUAAACGUCACCGCGUUUCGUCUCGCUGUGCUGUUUGUCUUGACCCUCUGCGCACGCCUUACGUGUCAAUGUGGCUGUGGCGUUCUCCUGGUGUGUGCAAUCCACAUCAAAAUAUUAGUUAGAAAAAAUAAAUAUUAAUUAUGGGAGAUGACUGAGCACCCACUCCAGGUUAACAACACUAGCAGCUCCCGCUGUUCUUUCUUCAACGCAGCGCCCGACGAUUAUCGAUGUGAUGUGAUUCUUAAAGUGAAAAGAGCCACAGGGACAUUUUCACUAGUGGCAUGCUUUUUCAUGCUGUUUGCGAUAUGGCUGUUCCGCCGAUAUAACUCUUUGGCUCAGAAAAUGAUAUUUAGUCUGACAGUAGCUGCAUUUUUUGACAGUGUUGCUUAUGUUAUGGGAGAGUCUCAUCCAGAGGGGUCUCUGUGUAGUUUUCAAGCCUGGUGGCUCACAUAUUUUGACUGGACUGCGCUGAUGUGGGUUUGUCUUAUUACUUUUAAUCUGUACCUGAACCUGGUGAGAGAAAUUAGAACUGAACAUUAUGAGAUACUAUACCAUGUGGUGGCAUGGGGGGUUCCUCUGCUCAUGUCCACCCUCCCCCUGAUGGCUGGAUACUACGGUCCUGCUGGAGCCUGGUGUUGGAUUACAGAUAAUCAUGUUGGGUGGAGGUUUGGCAUAUGGUACGUUCCUCUGUUUAGCCUGAUUAUCCUCAUGAUCUGCUGUUAUGCUCGAAUCAUCUGUGUGGCCAACGAGAGGUAUGGCUGAAAGUGACAUUCCGCAUUCCAGAACAUUAUG
RNAcentral lists this long non-coding RNA (797 nucleotides) under Sinocyclocheilus anshuiensis. RNAcentral's name for it is "lncRNA (ENSSANG00000029164.1)". Lineage: Eukaryota; Metazoa; Chordata; Actinopteri; Cypriniformes; Cyprinidae. The record is from RNAcentral.